RNAcentral lists this ribosomal RNA (253 nucleotides) under uncultured bacterium. RNAcentral describes it as "partial 16S ribosomal RNA". It matches the Rfam family "Bacterial small subunit ribosomal RNA", at positions 524 to 776 of the family's 1533-position model. The record is from RNAcentral.
UACGUAGGGUGCAAGCGUUGUCCGGAAUUAUUGGGCGUAAAGAGCUCGUAGGCGGUCUGUCGCGUCGGAUGUGAAACCUCGGGGCUCAACCCCGAGCCUGCAUUCGAUACGGGCAGACUAGAGUUCGGUAGGGGAGACUGGAAUUCCUGGUGUAGCGGUGAAAUGCGCAGAUAUCAGGAGGAACACCGGUGGCGAAGGCGGGUCUCUGGGCAUUUCCUGACGCUGAGGCGCGAAAGCGUGGGGAGCAAACGGG